CSRAGUUUGAUCCUGGCUCAGAGCGAACGCUGGCGGCMUGCUUAACACAUGCAAGUCGCACGGUCGGGGCAACCCGGCAGUGGCGGACGGGUGAGUAACGCGUAGGAAUCUAUCUCUGGGUGGGGGACAACCGUGGGAAACUACGGCUAAUACCGCAUGAUASCKGRGGGUCAAAGGCGCAAGUCSCCUGGAGAGGAGCCUGCGUACGAUUAGCUUGUUGGUGGGGUAAAGGCCUACCAAGGCGACRAUCGUUAGCUGGUCUGAGAGGAUGAUCAGCCACMCUGGGACUGARACACGGCCCAGACUCCUACGGGAGGCAGCAGUGGGGAAUAUUGGACAAUGGGCGAAAGCCUGAUCCAGCAAUGCCGCGUGGGUGAAGAAGGUCUUCGGAUUGUAAAGCCCUUUCGGCGGGGACGAUGAUGACGGUACCCGCAGAAGAAGCCCCGGCUAACUUCGUGCSAGCAGCCGCGGUAAUAC
This 477-nucleotide ribosomal RNA is filed under the name uncultured Acetobacteraceae bacterium. RNAcentral describes it as "partial 16S ribosomal RNA". It matches the Rfam family "Bacterial small subunit ribosomal RNA", at positions 9 to 526 of the family's 1533-position model. Lineage: Bacteria; Pseudomonadati; Pseudomonadota; Alphaproteobacteria; Acetobacterales; Acetobacteraceae. The record is from RNAcentral.